AUACGUAGGAGACGAGCGUUAUCCGGAUUUACUGGGCGUAAAGAGCAUGUAGGCGGGCUUCUAAGUCAGCUGUGAAAUCUCUCGGCUUAACUGAGAGAAGUCAGUUGAAACUGGAGGUCUUGAGGGCAGAAGAGGAAAGUGGAAUUCCCGGUGUAGUGGUGGAAUACGUAGAUAUCGGGAGGAACACCAGUGGCGAAGGCGGCUUUCUGGUCUGUGCCUGACGCUGAGAUGCGAAAGCGUGGGUAGCGAACGGGAUUAGAUACCCCGGUAGUCCACGCCCUAAACGAUGGAUACUAGGUGUUGGCGGUCUUUACCCCGCCGGUGCCAAAGUUAACGCGAUAAGUAUCCCGCCUGAGGACUACGGUCGCAAGACUAAA
RNAcentral lists this ribosomal RNA (377 nucleotides) under uncultured bacterium. Its description in RNAcentral is "bacterial SSU rRNA". It matches the Rfam family "Bacterial small subunit ribosomal RNA", at positions 523 to 898 of the family's 1533-position model. The record is from RNAcentral.